GGUCGAAUCGUAUAACGGUUUAGUAUGGCCGCUUCACACCAAAAAUUGGGACCCGCGGCAGAUCCGGGUUCGAUUCCCGGUUCGACUA
Non-coding RNA from Trichoderma asperellum CBS 433.97, 88 nucleotides. NCBI's taxonomy places the organism in Eukaryota, Fungi, Ascomycota, Sordariomycetes, Hypocreales, Hypocreaceae. The record is from the annotation of a RefSeq genome assembly.